AAAAAACUCAAAGCUCUCUGAAUUUCCCGAAUCAAAAAAUGCAACAAGGCGAUUACACCACCUCCAAUCCCUAUUACAAUUACCCUAACUCCGGCCAUAUCUCGCCGGCUCCGAUCCCAAACCCCACCCCUUCACCACCGUCAUACGCUUCUGCUCCGCCGUUCGCCGCCACUUACCCUCCAUCUUCAGAUUACUCAUCAUAUCCCUCUUCUUACCCGAAUCAUUAUACUCAAAAUCCUGAUUUACUCUCCACUGCUCCAGCACCUCCGUUACAGUCCUACAAUCCUCCACCAUCGGCGCAGGUUCCGGUUCCGGCGUUGCAACAGCCUCAGCACUCCUCUCCGUUUCCUUCGUUUGAAUCCCACGGAGCUUAUCAAAAUCCAGUUCAUUCUCAGCCUCAACAACCUUAUUAUCCUCCUUACGAUCAACCCCAGGCUGCUCCUAGUUACAAUCAUAGUACCACUCCGAAUUCUUCGUAUCCUUCAGUUUAUUCAACUCCGAAUUAUGAUAAUACUGGGAAGUUUGAUCAAAGUGGACAGUAUUUUGAUGAACCUGUGGAUAAGUAUGGGAAUUAUGGUUCGGGGAGAGGUGAAUUUGGGCAAGAUACUUAUGGGAAACGAGCUGAAAGUGGAUAUGGUAAUGAUGGUUAUGGCGAUGGGGUGUUUGCUUAUCAGGGUAGUAAAGUAGAGCCUUAUGGGGCACGAGGGACUGGUUCAAAGUCUUCGACUUGGUCGUCUAGUUUUGAUGAUUUUGGGAGGCCAAUUGGGUAUAAUUCUCCGAAAGAACGUUCAUCAGCUCCAACUGCAAAGAUCGUCAAGGCAAUUCCCAAGGUUGAUACGCAGCAGGAUGCGAAAAGUGGUGUUCAGAAGUUUAGGGUGAAGUUAUUAGCUGAAAGUGGUGGACAGAGUACCCAGGAUGUUCUUUGCCAGAUUGGCUUGGAUGGAAUCCGCAUGUUGGACCCAAGUACUAGCCGGAUGUUAAGAAUUUAUCCUCUUGACACAGUAACUAGACUUGAGGCGACGGAUUCAUCUACCUUUGCCUUCUGGUCAAAAAGUGCAGUGGAUAUAGAACCAAGGCGUAUCAGACUGCAGUCGAACAGUUACACAACCAGUUCCCUGUUAGAUACAGUCACGGCUGCAGUUGUACAGUUCAAGGAGAUGGGUGGAAGAAUAAUGUCUUCUGAAUCUCCAAAGGUGGCAGAACAGCCUACUGAGAAGAAGAAAGGUCUUACUGAUUGGAUUAAUAUAGUGAAGACCGUCAAUGAGGAGAAAGAUCACUGGGUUCCUGAUGAAGCAGUUUCCAAGUGCACAGCUUGUGGAUCAGCCUUCAAUGCUUUUGUGCGCAGGCAUCACUGUCGGAAUUGUGGAGAUAUUUUCUGUGACAAAUGCACUCAGGGAAGAACUGCACUGACAGCUGAUGAGAAUGCACCAGUUGUUAGAGUUUGUGACCGAUGUACGGCUGAGGUUUCUCGUCGGCUAAGCAGCGCGAAGGAAACUGUCAAUAGAUCAACUGGAUUGCAAAGUCAUGAAGACCUUGCCAAGAAGCUUCAGGAGGAGAUGGAGAGAAACCGGAAAGGAUCAUCUGGCUCUAGACAAGAUCGUUCGGGGAGGAUGAAAGAGGUUGCUUGCCCUACUUGUACAGUACAUUUGCAGGUUCAAGUUCCGAGCUCAGGUUCCGAGACUAUAGAAUGUGGGGUUUGCCAGAAUCCAUUCCUCGUUAGUUCGCACUGAUUUUGAUGUUUUCCGUCAAUGGAAGGAAAGACUGCCAACUCUUUUCUGGUUUUUGUGUGUUGUCAUACAUUGUUUUGUGCAUCUGUUAAUAUUUGAACCGUUGCCUUUGGUUGGUUGCUUGAUCCUUGUUUCCUGGCAAGGCAAUUUGCUCAUUUGAUUUGUAUUAGCAGGAAGAAAUCUAACACUUUUUUUUUCUUUACAUGGAGAAAAUAUAAGUGAAUUUGAUUCCAG
Molecule: unclassified non-coding RNA, 1961 nt
Filed under: Hevea brasiliensis (rubber tree)
Lineage: Eukaryota; Viridiplantae; Streptophyta; Magnoliopsida; Malpighiales; Euphorbiaceae
Source: RNAcentral